ACACACACACACACACACACACACACACACACACACACACACACACACACACACACACACACACCUAAUGCAAGCAGACACACAAUCCGCAUAAUACUUAGCACUUACUUGUUCUCUAAAUAUGUAGCUUUGUGUUUAUCUUGAUGAAUAAAUGACAUGUCACUGAGUAUCAAGAAAGACUAUUUUCUCUAAUGAUUAACUGAAUAUUCUUUAGAGAUUUUAAUUAUCUUUGUUAUUCUAUAUUGAGGUUUUGUUCUGUUUGUUGUAGCUCUUCAUGUUCUUCGUCUAUCAGUAGGAAUAAUAGUGACACAUCAAAUGAUCACGUGAUGUUUGUAACGCUACAGAUGAGAACAACCGUCCCAUAGUGUGAAGACUGAAUAUUUAAUUCUAGAUACUUUUAUUUGUUUAAGAGAUGUUUUGUAUUAUGAAAUAUAGAGUAGAAUGUAAAUAGUAAACAAUGAUAUAGAAUACUCUAAAAUA
Molecule: long non-coding RNA, 480 nt
Organism: Corticium candelabrum
Lineage: Eukaryota; Metazoa; Porifera; Homoscleromorpha; Homosclerophorida; Plakinidae
Exons: 2
Source: RefSeq, a predicted model, not a curated record